ACGAACGCUGGCGGCGUGCUUAACACAUGCAAGUCGAGCGGUAAGGCCCUUUCGGGGGUACACGAGCGGCGAACGGGUGAGUAACACGUGGGUGACCUGCCCUCAGCUCUGGGAUAAGCCUGGGAAACUGGGUCUAAUACUGGAUAUGACUCCACGGUGCAUGUCGUGGGGUGGAAAGCCUUGUGCGGCUGAGGAUGGGCCCGCGGCCUAUCAGCUUGUUGGUGGGGUNAGGGCCUACCAAGGCGACGACGGGUAGCCGGCCUGAGAGGGCGACCGGCCACACUGGGACUGAGACACGGGCCCAGACUCCUACGGGAGGCAGCAGUGGGGAAUCUUGCGCAAUGGGCGAAAGCCUGACGCAGCGACGCCGCGUGAGGGAUGACGGCCU
Molecule: ribosomal RNA, 388 nt
Filed under: uncultured bacterium
Lineage: Bacteria
Description: bacterial SSU rRNA
Rfam family: Bacterial small subunit ribosomal RNA
Source: RNAcentral